Molecule: ribosomal RNA, 548 nt
Filed under: uncultured Glomus
Lineage: Eukaryota; Fungi; Glomeromycota; Glomeromycetes; Glomerales; Glomeraceae
Description: SSU rRNA
Rfam family: Eukaryotic small subunit ribosomal RNA
Source: RNAcentral
UUGGAGGGCAAGUCUGGUGCCAGCAGCCGCGGUAAUUCCAGCUCCAAUAGCGUAUAUUAAAGUUGUUGCAGUUAAAAAGCUCGUAGUUGAAUUUCGAGACCGGUUUAUUGGUCGUGCUUUUGUACGUACUGGUAUUAUUGGUUUCUCCUUUCUGACGAAUCUUAAUGCCAUUAAUUUGGUGUUUUGGGGAAUCAGGACUGUUACUUUGAAAAAAUUAGAGUGUUUAAAGCAGGCUCACGCUUGAAUACAUUAGCAUGGAAUAACGGAAUAGGACGUUUGAUUCUAUUUUGUUGGUUUCUAGGAUCGACGUAAUGAUUAAUAGGGAUAGUUGGGGGCAUUAGUAUUCAAUUGUCAGAGGUGAAAUUCUUGGAUUUAUUGAAGACUAACUACUGCGAAAGCAUUUGCCAAGGAUGUUUUCAUUAAUCAGGAACGAAAGUUAGGGGAUCGAAGACGAUCAGAUACCGUCGUAGUCUUAACCAUAAACUAUGCCGACUAGGGAUCGGAUGAUGUUAAUUUUUUAAUGACUCAUUCGGCGCCUUACGGGAAAC